RNAcentral lists this ribosomal RNA (456 nucleotides) under uncultured bacterium. RNAcentral describes it as "bacterial SSU rRNA". It matches the Rfam family "Bacterial small subunit ribosomal RNA", at positions 923 to 1379 of the family's 1533-position model. The record is from RNAcentral.
GCACAAGCGGUGGAGCAUGUGGUUUAAUUCGACGCAACGCGAAGAACCUUACCUGGGCUCGAAAUGGAGUGGACCGGAGUAGAAAUAUUCCUUCCCCGCAAGGGGCCGCUCUAUAGGUGCUGCAUGGCUGUCGUCAGCUCGUGUCGUGAGAUGUUGGGUUAAGUCCCGCAACAAGCGCAACCCUUAUUACCAGUUGCCACCAUUUAGUUGGGCACUCUGGUGAGACCGCCUCGGAUAACGGGGAGGAAGGCGGGGAUGACGUCAAGUCCUCAUGGCCUUUAUGUCCAGGGCUACACACGUGCUACAAUGGCCGGUACAAACCGUCGCAAACCCGUGAGGGGGAGCUAAUCGGAAAAAGCCGGCCUCAGUUCGGAUUACAGUCUGCAACUCGACUGUAUGAAGCUGGAAUCGCUAGUAAUCGCGGAUCAGAAUGCCGCGGUGAAUACGUUCCCGGGC